Non-coding RNA from Oryza sativa Japonica Group (Japanese rice), 1305 nucleotides. Lineage: Eukaryota; Viridiplantae; Streptophyta; Magnoliopsida; Poales; Poaceae. The record is from RefSeq and is a predicted model, not a curated record.
UCGCGCACUUCAUCCAUCGUCGUGCUGGUUUUUCAUCCGAUUUUAUUUCAGUUUCAUGCGACCGACUUCGUCUCGUCUCGCAUCGCAUCGCGCCGUCCGUCAAACAGAAGUGAACGAGUCCGCAUAGAUCGUGUGUGGUCCCACUCGCACCAAUCCUGUUCUAUUACGAUUUGCUCCAUGGCUGGCGAUUCGAUCGCCUGCAUGGCUGCAUGGCUGCAUCGCCUGACAUAGCGGGAGACAGGUUAAUCCACGCGCCACCGCCCGUCACGAGCCACGCCGCUGCCGCUGCCGCCUGGGAGAAUCGGGUUUCCGCGCUCGCCGCUGGAAGCUGCCGGCAACGGGCUCCAUCCCGCUAUGACGGUUCAAUUCCAUUCCCUCACCGCAACUGCCCGGGGAGGAUGCAACCCGCGUCACCUGCGGCGAGUUUCUCUGACCCAGCCGAUUCCGUCUAAAAUUAAUCAGAAAGUGAGUAGCCUCAUCCUACUAUACUACUACCCAUCCUCCGCCUGAUUUCUCUUAUGGAAGGGGAACCUACUACCGAUCUCACAUUCACAUAUUUGUGAUUGAUUGGUCGAGCGUGGAGAUGGCAGCCGGGAGCCCGGGAAUGAUAGCACGGGACGACCUUCACUUAUAAUCAUAUAGCGGUUCGAAAUGUGUGGGCGAAUCAAAGAAAUAUGUGGUCAGGGUCAGGGACGACAGUUCUGUGUGGGGGAGAAAAGCCGAUGAUGGAUUGAGACAUCCCUCUUCAAGCUGAGGAGUGAUUCCUCAAGUAUGCUAUAAUCAACCUCCUAUUUCAAUCUAUUCAGAGACAGGAGGAACUGUGCUGCUCCGAACUAUUCUGCUCAUGAUCCUACGAAAAGGUGCGGACUUGUUAGCCUGCCUUGAGAAGGUUCAGCACAUUAAGCCUCCACAAGUCAAACCACACGAUAAGCUCCUAUGAUUUGUUAACAUCCAGAUUCCCCACCUAUCAUGUCAUUGUGCUGUACAUCAAAAAUCUCGGAGUACAUAGACAAGGGGGUUUCAUAGCAUUUCAAGGAGCCUAUUAUGGCCUUCCAAGGGGGAAAAAAAGAUUUAUGUAUCUGACUGCGAAAGAAAGUGAGAAGGUGAAAAGGUUGCAUCAGAAUCAACAAUCACUUAGACAGGUUAAAAAUCAUGACAAAUCUAUAUUAGCUUUUUCCGUUGUAACUUGCGGGCAUUGUCUUUAGUAGUUCUCUCCGUUGCAACUCACAGGCAUUUUGCUAGUUAAAAAAAGAAAACAAAGCAAUAUCAUUUUUGCAUCAAAUACUUGAUAUCCAUGCAAAUUUU